This 661-nucleotide long non-coding RNA is filed under the name Cricetulus griseus (Chinese hamster). RNAcentral's name for it is "lncRNA (ENSCGRG00015010778.2)". The record is from RNAcentral. Lineage: Eukaryota; Metazoa; Chordata; Mammalia; Rodentia; Cricetidae.
CUCAGAGCCUCGUGCUGUGUCACUAGGUUCCCCAUCCUCAGCUUCUGAGAGCUGCAGACAUGGGGUAGCCCUGUGACACUCCCCCACACAUGUCCUCUGUCACCCACGUGUGGGCCCUAGUUUCCUUCCCAGACAGCAACUACAGCCAGACAUGCUGAGGCCUGCAGAAUUUCUCUUCCCACAUGAAUGACUGGGCCACUCUAUGCACAGCACAGCCCUGUGAGCAAUAAAAACCUUAACUAAGACACAGAUCCAUCAUCAAGGGCAGAUGAGGCAGAAACCAUGAAGGAAUGCUGCUAACUGGCUUGCUUCCUCUGGCUUGCUCACCUACCUUUCUUAUACCACCCAUGCCCACCUGCUCAGGAGUGACUCCAACCCACAGUGGGAGCCUUCUCACGUCAAUCAGCAACCAAGAAAACAUGCUACAGUCUUGCCCACAGGCCAAUCGGAUGGAGGCAGUUCCUCAGUGGAGAGUCCUCUCUUCCCAGUUGCAGAGGGUUAGAGUCCAUGACCAUCAUGGUGGGGAGCGUGGCAGCAGGCAGGUGUGACACUGGAGCAGCAGCUGAGAGCUUACAUCUGAUCCAAGCACAAGGCAGAGAAAGAACUAACUGAGAAUGGUGUGAGUUUUUGAAACUUCACAGCCCAAUCACAGUGCCGACCU